GAUGGCUGAAUAAGUCGGUGGAUUGUAGCUCCAUAUAUAAAGGUUUAAGUCCUUUUCUUAUCA
Molecule: transfer RNA, 63 nt
Filed under: Laimosemion sp. Yavita
Lineage: Eukaryota; Metazoa; Chordata; Actinopteri; Cyprinodontiformes; Rivulidae
Description: tRNA-Tyr
Rfam family: tRNA
About the family: Transfer RNA (tRNA) molecules are approximately 80 nucleotides in length.
Source: RNAcentral